This 460-nucleotide ribosomal RNA is filed under the name uncultured bacterium. RNAcentral's name for it is "partial 16S ribosomal RNA". It matches the Rfam family "Bacterial small subunit ribosomal RNA", at positions 338 to 795 of the family's 1533-position model. The record is from RNAcentral.
CCUACGGGCGGCAGCAGUGAGGAAUAUUGGUCAAUGGGCGCAAGCCUGAACCAGCCAAGUCGCGUGAGGGAUUAAGGCCCUAUGGGUCGUAAACCUCUUUUGUCAGGGAGCAAGGUCGUCCACGUGUGGGCGUAUGGAGAGUACCUGAAGAAAAAGCAUCGGCUAACUCCGUGCCAGCAGCCGCGGUAAUACGGAGGAUGCGAGCGUUAUCCGGAUUUAUGGGGUUUAAGGGGUGCGUAGGCGGGACCUUAAGUCAGCGGUAAAAUUGCGGUGGUCAACGCCGUAGAGCCGUUGAAACUGGGGCUCUUGAGUGAGCGAGAAGUAUGCGGAAUGCGUGGUGUAGCGGUGAAAUGCAUAGAUAUCACGCAGAACCCCGAUUGCGAAGGCAGCAUACCGGCGCUCAACUGACGCUGAGGCACGAAAGUGCGGGGAUCGAACAGGAUUAGAUACCCUGGUAGUC